This 2932-nucleotide ribosomal RNA is filed under the name Escherichia coli. RNAcentral's name for it is "bacterial LSU rRNA". It matches the Rfam family "Bacterial large subunit ribosomal RNA". Lineage: Bacteria; Pseudomonadati; Pseudomonadota; Gammaproteobacteria; Enterobacterales; Enterobacteriaceae. The record is from RNAcentral.
GGGUUGUGAGGUUAAGCGACUAAGCGUACACGGUGGAUGCCCUGGCAGUCAGAGGCGAUGAAGGACGUGCUAAUCUGCGAUAAGCGUCGGUAAGGUGAUAUGAACCGUUAUAACCGGCGAUUUCCGAAUGGGGAAACCCAGUGUGUUUCGACACACUAUCAUUAACUGAAUCCAUAGGUUAAUGAGGCGAACCGGGGGAACUGAAACAUCUAAGUACCCCGAGGAAAAGAAAUCAACCGAGAUUCCCCCAGUAGCGGCGAGCGAACGGGGAGCAGCCCAGAGCCUGAAUCAGUGUGUGUGUUAGUGGAAGCGUCUGGAAAGGCGCGCGAUACAGGGUGACAGCCCCGUACACAAAAAUGCACAUACUGUGAGCUCGAUGAGUAGGGCGGGACACGUGGUAUCCUGUCUGAAUAUGGGGGGACCAUCCUCCAAGGCUAAAUACUCCUGACUGACCGAUAGUGAACCAGUACCGUGAGGGAAAGGCGAAAAGAACCCCGGCGAGGGGAGUGAAAAAGAACCUGAAACCGUGUACGUACAAGCAGUGGGAGCACAGAGCAAUCUGUGUGACUGCGUACCUUUUGUAUAAUGGGUCAGCGACUUAUAUUCUGUAGCAAGGUUAACCGAAUAGGGGAGCCGAAGGGAAACCGAGUCUUAACUGGGCGUUAAGUUGCAGGGUAUAGACCCGAAACCCGGUGAUCUAGCCAUGGGCAGGUUGAAGGUUGGGUAACACUAACUGGAGGACCGAACCGACUAAUGUUGAAAAAUUAGCGGAUGACUUGUGGCUGGGGGUGAAAGGCCAAUCAAACCGGGAGAUAGCUGGUUCUCCCCGAAAGCUAUUUAGGUAGCGCCUCGUGAAUUCAUCUCCGGGGGUAGAGCACUGUUUCGGCAAGGGGGUCAUCCCGACUUACCAACCCGAUGCAAACUGCGAAUACCGGAGAAUGUUAUCACGGGAGACACACGGCGGGUGCUAACGUCCGUCGUGAAGAGGGAAACAACCCAGACCGCCAGCUAAGGUCCCAAAGUCAUGGUUAAGUGGGAAACGAUGUGGGAAGGCCCAGACAGCCAGGAUGUUGGCUUAGAAGCAGCCAUCAUUUAAAGAAAGCGUAAUAGCUCACUGGUCGAGUCGGCCUGCGCGGAAGAUGUAACGGGGCUAAACCAUGCACCGAAGCUGCGGCAGCGACGCUUAUGCGUUGUUGGGUAGGGGAGCGUUCUGUAAGCCUGCGAAGGUGUGCUGUGAGGCAUGCUGGAGGUAUCAGAAGUGCGAAUGCUGACAUAAGUAACGAUAAAGCGGGUGAAAAGCCCGCUCGCCGGAAGACCAAGGGUUCCUGUCCAACGUUAAUCGGGGCAGGGUGAGUCGACCCCUAAGGCGAGGCCGAAAGGCGUAGUCGAUGGGAAACAGGUUAAUAUUCCUGUACUUGGUGUUACUGCGAAGGGGGACGGAGAAGGCUAUGUUGGCCGGGCGACGGUUGUCCCGGUUUAAGCGUGUAGGCUGGUUUUCCAGGCAAAUCCGGAAAAUCAAGGCUGAGGCGUGAUGACGAGGCACUACGGUGCUGAAGCAACAAAUGCCCUGCUUCCAGGAAAAGCCUCUAAGCAUCAGGUAACAUCAAAUCGUACCCCAAACCGACACAGGUGGUCAGGUAGAGAAUACCAAGGCGCUUGAGAGAACUCGGGUGAAGGAACUAGGCAAAAUGGUGCCGUAACUUCGGGAGAAGGCACGCUGAUAUGUAGGUGAAGUCCCUCGCGGAUGGAGCUGAAAUCAGUCGAAGAUACCAGCUGGCUGCAACUGUUUAUUAAAAACACAGCACUGUGCAAACACGAAAGUGGACGUAUACGGUGUGACGCCUGCCCGGUGCCGGAAGGUUAAUUGAUGGGGUCAGCGCAAGCGAAGCUCUUGAUCGAAGCCCCGGUAAACGGCGGCCGUAACUAUAACGGUCCUAAGGUAGCGAAAUUCCUUGUCGGGUAAGUUCCGACCUGCACGAAUGGCGUAAUGAUGGCCAGGCUGUCUCCACCCGAGACUCAGUGAAAUUGAACUCGCUGUGAAGAUGCAGUGUACCCGCGGCAAGACGGAAAGACCCCGUGAACCUUUACUAUAGCUUGACACUGAACAUUGAGCCUUGAUGUGUAGGAUAGGUGGGAGGCUUUGAAGUGUGGACGCCAGUCUGCAUGGAGCCGACCUUGAAAUACCACCCUUUAAUGUUUGAUGUUCUAACGUUGACCCGUAAUCCGGGUUGCGGACAGUGUCUGGUGGGUAGUUUGACUGGGGCGGUCUCCUCCUAAAGAGUAACGGAGGAGCACGAAGGUUGGCUAAUCCUGGUCGGACAUCAGGAGGUUAGUGCAAUGGCAUAAGCCAGCUUGACUGCGAGCGUGACGGCGCGAGCAGGUGCGAAAGCAGGUCAUAGUGAUCCGGUGGUUCUGAAUGGAAGGGCCAUCGCUCAACGGAUAAAAGGUACUCCGGGGAUAACAGGCUGAUACCGCCCAAGAGUUCAUAUCGACGGCGGUGUUUGGCACCUCGAUGUCGGCUCAUCACAUCCUGGGGCUGAAGUAGGUCCCAAGGGUAUGGCUGUUCGCCAUUUAAAGUGGUACGCGAGCUGGGUUUAGAACGUCGUGAGACAGUUCGGUCCCUAUCUGCCGUGGGCGCUGGAGAAUUGAGGGGGGCUGCUCCUAGUACGAGAGGACCGGAGUGGACGCAUCACUGGUGUUCGGGUUGUCAUGCCAAUGGCACUGCCCGGUAGCUAAAUGCGGAAGAGAUAAGUGCUGAAAGCAUCUAAGCACGAAACUUGCCCCGAGAUGAGUUCUCCCUGACUCCUUGAGAGUCCUGAAGGAACGUUGAAGACGACGACGUUGAUAGGCCGGGUGUGUAAGCGCAGCGAUGCGUUGAGCUAACCGGUACUAAUGAACCGUGAGGCUUAACCUUACAACGCCGAAGGUGUUU